This 332-nucleotide unclassified non-coding RNA is filed under the name soil metagenome. Its description in RNAcentral is "partial contains 5.8S ribosomal RNA, internal transcribed spacer 2, and large subunit ribosomal RNA". The stretch from base 1 to 120 matches the Rfam family "5.8S ribosomal RNA", at positions 35 to 154 of the family's 154-position model. The record is from RNAcentral.
GAUGAAGAACGUAGCAAAAUGCGAUAAGUAAUGUGAAUUGCAGAAUUCAGUGAAUCAUCGAAUCUUUGAACGCACAUUGCGCCCGCCAGUAUUCUGGCGGGCAUGCCUGUUCGAGCGUCAUUUCAACCCUCAAGCCCAGCUUGGUGUUGGGAUCUGUCCUUACCGACAGUCCCCAAAUUGAUUGGCGGUCACGUCGAGCUUCCAUAGCGUAGUAAUUUACACAUCGUUACUGGUAAUCGUCGCGGCCACGCCGUUAAACCCCAACUUCUGAAUGUUGACCUCGGAUCAGGUAGGAAUACCCGCUGAACUUAAGCAUAUCAAUAAGCGGAGGA